RNAcentral lists this long non-coding RNA (332 nucleotides) under Parus major (Great Tit). Its description in RNAcentral is "lncRNA (ENSPMJG00000016567.1)". The record is from RNAcentral. Lineage: Eukaryota; Metazoa; Chordata; Aves; Passeriformes; Paridae.
CGGAGGCCGGGCGGUGUGAGCAGGCCGUGGGCAGGAGCCGUGUCCCGGAGGCCGGGCGGUGUGAGCAGGCCGUGGGCAGGAGCCGUGUCCCGGAGCUGCGGGCUGCAGGUGGCAGCAGCGCCCUUCCCUUCCCUGCGGCAGCCGGGGAUGCUGCGGCACAGCCCGGCCACAGCGCCAGGAGCACAUCGGCACCUCGCAGCCACACUCUGCGCCUCCCCCGCCUCCUCCCCGACAGGAAUCCGGAUCCUUGGAGAGAGGGGAGGGGAAGAAAAGCCUUUCUGCAUCGCGCAGUGCCAGACAGAGCCCGAAUGAAGAUUUGCUAACACUGAUGC